RNAcentral lists this small RNA (322 nucleotides) under Pongo abelii (Sumatran orangutan). RNAcentral's name for it is "processed transcript". Lineage: Eukaryota; Metazoa; Chordata; Mammalia; Primates; Hominidae. The record is from RNAcentral.
UGGUGCAGAGGACCAACCUGGGCAUCCUGCGGGCGCUGGUGUGCCAGUGUUGCAUCUGAGCCAAGAAAACUUUAUGAAAUGCCAAAAUGUUCCAAAUCAGAAAAAAUAGAGGAUGCUUUAUUAUGGGAAUGCCCAGUGGGAGAUAUACUUCCCAAUUCAUCAGAUUAUAAGUCCUCACUCAUAGCACUGACUGCUCAUAAUUGGCUACUUCGUGUAUCAGCAACUACGGGAAAAAUCCUUGAGAAAAUAUAUCUUGCACCUUAUUGCAAAUUCAGAUACUUGAGCUGGGACACUCCUCAAGAAGUCAUUGCAGUUAAGUCAG